CUUAAGCUCACUGUGCAGCCCAAGGCUGGCCUUGAACUCACAGCCAUCCCCCUGGCUCAGCCUCACAAGUGCUGGGAUCACAGGUGUGUGCCACCCUGCUCAACUUCAUCUCAUCUUGAGAUGUGAGAGAGAGCAGAUUUAGAAUCAGAACUCAUUGCAGAUGGGGAUGGCAGUGCAUGUCUGUAAUCCUAGCACUCUUGAGAGGCUGAGGCAGGAGGAUCAAAACCUUGAGCCCAGCCUGAGAAACUUAGCAAGUCUCUGUCUCAAAAAAAUAAAGAAAAAAGGUCUGGGAACAUAACUUAUAGAGGCCCUGGAUUCAAUCCCUAGUACCACAAAGAGGAAAAAAUGCUUAGUGCUAAAUGGUCCUGUUUUCUAAAUAUUGCUGGUUUUUUUUCAAAAAAGUAUUCCAUAUGUACACAUCUUUUGAACUUAGCUUCUCUAAAAUGUCCAUUUUAAUGGCCCAUAGGUUUUGUUAUUUUUUUAGACCAUGUCACUAGCCUGGAACUUGAGACAGUGUAACCCAGUUUGGCCUCAACUCACCAUCCUCCUACCUCAGCCUCCAGAGUGCAGGGAUUACAGGCAUCAGCCACCACGCCCAGCUACAGGUUAAUGAUUUUAGAAAGUAAGGGUUUUUUCUAAAAUAAAGGAUAUCUACCUGAUACUGUGUGUCUAAAAAUCAACAAAUGUGAAGUAUUAAGAGCUAUCUGUAGCAUUGUUUACAAUGCUAGAGAUAUGAUGGGAAUGUUUAGCCCACAGAGGGAAACACAGACCAAGCUCUGUGGGUAACAGUCUGUUAAACUUCCACAGAGCUCUCCAUUUGGGACAGUGUAAUGGUCAUGCUAUCAUUUAUUGUAUGUUUAAGAAUAUUUAUCAUAGGCAGUCAGUAAUUGUUCUGAUUGGUCUGAAAGAAUAUGCAGAAAAUUGUUAGUGUUUGGUUUUAUUUUGAACCUAGUUUAACAAGUUUCAGUGUUUGGCUCAAAAUGCGGGCUUUUUCUGAAAACUAAACAUCUUAACAGGAUUUUUAUGUAAAUAUAUUUGUUUAAGUCGGUUAGAGCAGUUUUUAAAUAGGCAGAGAUCAAAAGCCUUUCGUGUUUUUAUCAUCUGCCAGUAUUAUUACCCAUUCAGAUUUCUAUUUAUAGUGUGGUAAUUUGUGUCCACUGUGAGCACUAAUUUCAGAAAAGGAAACUAUUACUGUCAUGUUUUAAUGUGUAAUGCGUUGGGCUUGGGCAGAGGGGAGUAGAAUGAGUAAAUACUAUAAUAAACCAGGUCUCUGCUGGCAAGUUGUUUAAUGAGUCAUUGGUGGAAAGGAUCAGUCAAACUAUCAAAUCUAAUAAAUCAUAUCUAAACAUAGUCUAUUACCCAUAUUAGAGCAAGUGACUGGUAUUAGAAAUUUUACUAUUUGCUUUAAAAUUCAGGAACUAAAGUUGGGGUGUCAUGGCACACCCCUGUAACCUCCACCUUUGGGAGGUUGAGGCAGAAAAAUGAUAAGUUUUGAGGCCACCCUGUCUCAAAAAAAUCAGUCAAUUCGUAAACUGUUUGAUUCAUAUUCCUAUUAGAUUUAGUUGACUAUUAAGAGGUCAGUGUUAAUUCAUAGAUUCAUAAGCAGAUUAACCAGUGAUGAGAACUACAUGGCAGGCAGAAAGAAAAAGAAUUUUUGCAUCCUGGAAAUGGAGUACAAUCAGAUGGGUCUUGAAUAGAUUGGGUAGUUACCAGGAAGCCGUCUGCUGUACUAAAUAGGAAUAAUAAAAUCAACAGAUUUGACAGCUGUGUGAAAAGUAGCCCAGGAAGGUAGAGCUAGCAUUAACCCACCCAGUCUUAUAGGGUGUUUGGUCAGUAAGCGUGAAGUGGUCAGGAUUAUAGCUGUGGUGAGACUGGAAAUCCAAGAAAGUGCAAAGAAAUAAUUGGAGAAUUGGUCAAUAGCUUCUGCCUCAGCUUCCUAGAAUACUAGGAUUACAGGUGUGCACCACCACUCCCAGCUUUUAGUAGAAUAUCUUAAUGGAUAUCUUCUGUAGAUAGCCAAAUGUAAACAGUUUCCCUUCCCUGAGAGUUACUGAUUUGACAGGAGGCAAUUUGAAGCCAUGAGUGUAAGUGAAAUUAUUUUCCUUAGAAUUAAACAUGAAGGAAAAAAAUGGACAACCUGGUGUAAAGUGGCUUGGGAAGGGAAGAAGGAUUGGAUUACAAGAGUCCUAUUACUGAAAAAGGGGCACAUAAGGCAAAUACCUGUAUAGCAGUUGAGAAUACUGCAUCCUGAUGGCAAAGAACAAGGUGCCAUUGUUUCUUUAUACUUGUCCUGUGCUAUAACCAGCAAUCAUUUCAUUCUCUAAAUGUCAUAAUUUAUGCCUUUUUAUAUACCUAUUGAUGGAGAGGUGGCUAACAAUCUAAGGAUAGGACAAUUUUGGAAAUAAGAUCUAAUUAGUACCAGGCCUGUGUGUAGCUAUAUAGCAACUAAGUGUUUCAGAGCCAGUGGUGGCAAACUUCUAUUCAAAUUCAGCUGCACCAGGGCCACAAAUCAGCUCCCAAAUGUAUAUCUGCAAUAUUUUCCUGUAUACUUCAACAAUGUAAACAUUUUUUCUCUCAUUUUUAAAUGGCUUUUUAGUACUUUACCCAAAAUGUUGGAGAUAAAUUCUUACUGCUUAUUAACUGGGUUCUCCUAUUGAUCUAUUUCGUAUUAUUUUCUGGAAAAAAAAGUUACUGUUAAACAUUUGUAUUGGUUUCCCAGGACUGUGUUAAAAAAUUUAAUAUUCUUAAAGUAACAGAAAUGUACUCAGUUCUGGAGGCUGAAAAUCCAAAAUCAAAAUUUCAUCAGGCAAGCUCCCUCAUCAGGGCUCUAGAAGAGAAUCCAUUCCUCAGCAUUAUACCCAUCAUUCCAGGCUGCCUCCAUCUGAACAUCUCUGUGUGGCUGAUACCCUCUUCUCUUUUACAAGGACAUCUGUGACGGCAUUUAGAGCAAACCUGAAUAAUUUAGGAUUAUUUCAGCUCAAGAUCCUUAACCACAUCUGCAAAGAUCCUUUCCUCAAAUGAACGUAACGUUCAUAAACUUGGGAAUUGGGGUAUGGACGUACCUUUGGGAGCCACUACAGCCUUCCACACAGUUUCAGUAACUUACUGUAACAAAGACCUGUGUGAAUCUGCUCCAGGAUAACCUAAAACAUUCUAACCUGAAGCCACAGUUCUCUCUAGAGAGAUUCUGAGCACCUGAGAAGAUCCUCUGCAGAGUUUCUUUCAAAAGAAGCCCAGGAUCAGAUAUCCAGAGAGCUUGCCUCCAACUCAAUCCUCAUUUUUAAUCAGACAUUUGUAAUCCAUAUUAGAAGAAAAAUCUAUGAGACCAAAUGGUGUGUGUUUACAUUUUACCUCUGCAGUGAACUGAAUGUUUCAUUUAUUGCUUAGGUUUUGUUGCCUUUUUAGAAGUAAGAAGAAUAGGUAGACACAGAAUCAAAUGAUUAAAAACUCAUCUGGUUGAAGUGAGUUACAUUGACUGCUAGAGCAAGUUAGGAUUAAUUCAGCUUGAGUUUUGGGGGGAUUCUAUGUACAUCUAACAUUAUGUGUGGGAUUUCUACCUUGUAAUAAAUUCUCAAAAAUAAGUUUUGGAAGCCAGGUGUCAAGGUGACACAUGCUUGGAAUCCCAGAGAUACGGGAAACCGAGCCAGAAGGAACAAAAAUUUGAGCCCAGACUGGGUAAUUUAACAAGACCUUGUCUCAAAAUAAAUGAAAAAGUGUUGGGAAUAUAACUAUAUAGUAACUCCCCCAUAACUUUGAUCCCCAAUACCAUUAAAAUUUUUUAAUUAAAAAAAAUUUGACAUCCAGAUAACUUGUGUAUCUAUUGUUUGAAGAAAUGAUGCAAGGAGAUUUUUAAUCUGUGGUGCAUAUGUUAAGGUAUAACCUCUUAGAGAUUACAGUUGAUUUAGUCAUUUUUAGAGCUACUGUUGAAAUGUUCAUAUUUCAUUGAUUCCUUUGGAUUUUCUGGCUUCAAUAAAGUAUGAUUUGGAUCAUGCAAGAUUGUGCUGGAAGACUCAGAGUUGGGCCAGGGGGUGGUUUGAGACAUUGUUCACUAUAGUUAGGCUGGCCUUGAACCCACUGUGUACCCCAGGCUGGCCUUGAGCUCCUGGUGAUCCUCCCUCCUCAGCCUCCUGAGUGCUGGGAUUAUAGGUGUGUACCACCACAGGUGGCAUUUUGUUUUGUUUGCAGUAUUGGUAAUUGAACCUGGGGCCUUCACAUUGAACUGCAUCCCCAGCCCCUUUAAAAAAAUUUUUUUUUAAAUUUUGAGAUAGAUCUUGAGUAAGUUACUAAGUUGCCCAGGUUGGACUCAAACUGAUCCCUCCUCCCUCAGCCUCUCAGUGUGGCAUUAUAGGUGUAUACUACCAUGCCUGGCUGAGAAACAAAAAUUCUUUAGGGGCCUUCCAAAUUUCUCCUUUUUGUAUUGUGCAAUUGAUGAAUGCACCUGGCUUAGAAUUUAUUGAAUUAGACAAAAAGCCAAUAAUGCUUCCUGAAAUACAUCUUGAGCUCUUGGUAGAAGCUGAACCAUCUUGUUUAUUUAGCAAACACCUAAUGUUUCUCAGUUUUUCAGAAAUGGAAUAUUAUUUGCCACUACCAUUAAUUUCAUUUGUCCAAUACUUAGAGGAUGUCACUAAAGGCGAAAGUGGCUCCUACUACCUUUUUCCCCCAUCCACUCUGAACCCCAGUGCGAUAUUCUCGUGGUCAGGGCAUUCACUCCCCAACAGGAUCUGGCUAAUGACAGAAGCAGAAUUAAUGAUUUGGUUGUCCUGAACUCUCAACAAAGUCAUUCAAAGGAGAGUAAAGAGGACAGCUCUCAGAAUGGCAACAGGAUAGCUAUAAAAUGCCAAGCAUUCUGUGCUUUGCCCUGCAAAGUGAAGACAUUUUAAAGUGCCACCUCUUGCACCACUGUCCAUCAGAAUUUCCCCCAAGGAAAUUGCAAAGUUAGGGCAUAGGGUUUUUUCUUAGCUCAGUUAUUCCUGAAACUCAGGAGCAGUGGCAUUAGUCACAAUUAGCUCAACUGCUUUAUUUCACUUUUAAAAAGAAGAAAAGCAAAAGUGCAGCAGUGGAGAAAGAAAAAACACAAAGGGGUGAAGAGUCACAUCAAUAACAAGUGAAAAAAUUUUUUUAAAAUAGGUUUUUAAGGCUAUAUGUCAUGUAAAGUGUAAAUAUAUAGGGGAUGAUGUACAGUAAUAAAAAUUACUGGGCUAGCAGUAAUGAUUUGAAUUACUACUUCUUAACAUUGUUAUGGGAUCUUCAAUUAAAAAUAAAUUGCUUUAGGGCCAGGGAUUUAGCUCAGUGGUUCCACCGCCUGCCUUGCAACCGUAAGGUCCCGUGUUCGAUACCCUGUACCAAAAAAACAACUUUGCUUUAAAAAUGAUGAAGUCAUCCUUAUUUCAUAUUUAAUCAGGAGGGAGAAAGUCAUUUAAAAAGCUAAAGGAGCCAGGCUUGGUAGUGCAUGCCUGUAAUCCCAGUACUCAGAGGCUGAGGCAGGAAGGUUACAAGUUCAAAUGAGAGACCUUGUUUGAAAAAAUUUUUUAAAUAUAAAGGCUGAGGAUGUAAGUCAGUGCAAACGCCUUAGGUCCAAUCACCACCACCACCACCGAAAAAAAAGAAAAAAGGAAUUUAAUUUUAUUACCUGAAAUAGUCUUUGUAAACAGCUAAAGAAACUUCAAGUUGAUCUUGUGAAGGACAGAAGCAGAAGGACUCCCCUAGAAUGGUAGGCUUUUCCUAAAGAUUAAACUUGAUCACAUUAAUUUACAAAUAAGCCAGAAAUAAGGUUUUGAAACACAGAUUUACCUAAUGCCCUUUUUCAGCAGAUUCAAGCUUCCAAGCAAGUUUCAAAGGCAACAUUCGUGACAGUUUUUUAGCAUUCUAUUGCAUUGUUGAUGCUUACAUUCCAUCAUUUUAUGCUUUUAAAUGCACUUCUAUUUAUAAAAGCUGCAUAGUUUGCUCUUACAUGUCAAAAUGUUUAUAGCUUAAAAUGUAUUCAGAGUAUUUUAAAAAUCAGUUACUGCUCUUGAUUUAUGAACUAAAUACAGUAUACUGCAUUUUCCAGUCAUUAAAAUAACACCUUAAGGAUUUAUUUAUUCCUUUUUGGUGUGAUGCUGGAGAUCGAACCUAGGGCCUCUUGCAUGGGAUACACUCUACCACUGAGCUAUGUCCCCAGCUCCUAACAAUAUAUUUUAAAAAUAUAGAUCCUCUAGAAGAUAAUUGCUUGCAGACAAAGCGAACUGUACUUAUGUGGUAACUAAUUGUUUAUGUUUUAAAUUACUAUUUCUCAAAAAGUUGUUACUGGUAGCCAGGUGUGGUAGCGCAUGCCUAUAUUCCACCACUCUGGGAGGCUAAGGCAGGAGGAUUACAUGUUCAAGCCCAGCCUAGGCAACUUAGUGACUUAGCCAGACCCUAUCUCAAAACAUAAAUAUGGGGGGAGGGAUUUAUCUCAGUGGUGCCUUGAUUGCCUGGCAAGUGCAAGGUCCUGAGUUCAGUCCCUGGUACCAAAAAAAAAAAAAAUUUUUCCCCAGUACGAGGGAUCAAACUCAGGUCAAAACAGAAUUUUAAAAAGAACUGGGGAUGUAGCUUAAUGUGAAGGCCUUGGAUUUAAUUUUCAGUACCAGAAAGAAAAAAAAAAUCAUUUGUGGCACUAGCCUGUAACUCCAGCCCUGGCCAAUUCCUAGUUGCGGGCUGGGGCGGGG
Heterocephalus glaber (naked mole-rat) is the source of this 6686-nucleotide long non-coding RNA. The record is from Ensembl. NCBI's taxonomy places the organism in Eukaryota, Metazoa, Chordata, Mammalia, Rodentia, Bathyergidae.